UCAAACUUGGUCAUUUAGAGGAAGUAAAAGUCGUAACAAGGUCUCCGUAGGUGAACCUGCGGAGGGAUCAUUAGAGAAAUCUAAUCUUGUUUUGCCCAUCAACACUGGUGCAAAAUAAACCACCCCAUGCCUGAGGUUUGGCUCAUCUUUAUGAUGCGGCCAUCCUCAGUUCAUAUAUACACCUUUUAUACUGGCCAGCCUAACGGCGCAGUAAACUGAAACUUUUUUUUUGAAGUAUCAUUGUUUAAAUGUGAACCUUGAUAUUGAUAAAAUUAUAAACAACUUUCAACAAUGGAUCCCUCGGCUCUCCCAUCGAUGAAGAACGCAGC
This 329-nucleotide unclassified non-coding RNA is filed under the name uncultured fungus. RNAcentral's name for it is "partial contains small subunit ribosomal RNA, internal transcribed spacer 1, and 5.8S ribosomal RNA". The stretch from base 1 to 73 matches the Rfam family "Eukaryotic small subunit ribosomal RNA", at positions 1759 to 1831 of the family's 1831-position model. The record is from RNAcentral. Lineage: Eukaryota; Fungi.